Camellia sinensis is the source of this 529-nucleotide non-coding RNA. The record is from RefSeq and is a predicted model, not a curated record. Lineage: Eukaryota; Viridiplantae; Streptophyta; Magnoliopsida; Ericales; Theaceae.
ACUAAGCUCUCUCUCUCUCUAGAUCUACUCCUUUCAAUGCCAUCUUCAAGUGUGCCGCUAGAAAUAUAUAUGGAAGAAAAACAAUGUGAAGAAGAAGAACUGAAUUACAUUUUCUAUGAAACCUUGGAGGAAGCUUGUGAAUCCAUGUGGAACACUCAUUUGAGCAAGAAAAUUCAAGCCACUAAAGUUACAAAGGAACGAGAAUAACUAACAAUCACACAACCUCGACCUCGGACCUUCAUCCUUCAUGGAGGUUGGGGGUUGAUUUUUUUCCUUACUACAUUCACCUCUCUUUGCUUGUGAGAGAAUUUAGUUCGUUGUCCAAUAAUAUAGAUUAUGUAUUUACAUGGUUCCCAAAAAAAAAAUAAUGGACAAAUCACAAAAUAUUGUCCAAUAAAAGAGACUAUAUGCUUACAUGAUUCAGGGAAAAAAAAAUUUGAUGGACAAAUCACAAAAGGGGCAAUUUCAUAUCAGAGGAUGUUUAGAAAUAUUUUCCAAUUAAUGAUAAACUUUAUCAUGAAUUUGUAAA